GGUGGCUCAGUGGUAGAGUACUUGCCUUGCAUGCAUGAGGCCCUAGGUUCGAUUCCCUAGCACCA
Molecule: transfer RNA, 65 nt
Filed under: Dipodomys ordii (Ord's kangaroo rat)
Lineage: Eukaryota; Metazoa; Chordata; Mammalia; Rodentia; Heteromyidae
Rfam family: tRNA
About the family: Transfer RNA (tRNA) molecules are approximately 80 nucleotides in length.
Source: Rfam by way of RNAcentral